GAUGAACGCUAGCUACAGGCUUAACACAUGCAAGUCGCGGGGCAGCAUGGGGGUUGCUUGCACUCCCCGAUGGCGACCGGCGCACGGGUGAGUAACGCGUAGCCAACCUGCCCUUCACCACGGGAUAACCCGGCGAAAGUCGGACUAAAACCGUAUGUUCUUCAUUGACGGCGCCCGAUAUGGACGAAACGUGUGGGGUUGAAUGAUGGGGAUGCGUUUGAUUUGCUGGGCGGGGUGGUGACGGCCCACCGUGGCGACGCGUGGUAGGGGUUCUGAGAGGAAGGUCCCCCGGACUGGAACUGAGGCACGGACCAGACUCCUACGGGAGGCAGCAGUGAGGAAUAUUAGUCAAUGGACGUAAGCCUGAACCAGCCGAGUAGCGUGCAGAAUGACGGCCCUAGGGGUUGUAAACUGCUUUUAUGGGAGGAUAAAGUGGCAAACGUGUGGGUUUUUGAAGGUACCGAAUGAAUAAGGACCGGCUAAUUCCGUG
Molecule: ribosomal RNA, 490 nt
Filed under: uncultured bacterium
Lineage: Bacteria
Description: partial 16S ribosomal RNA
Rfam family: Bacterial small subunit ribosomal RNA
Source: RNAcentral